Molecule: ribosomal RNA, 254 nt
Filed under: uncultured bacterium
Lineage: Bacteria
Description: partial 16S ribosomal RNA
Rfam family: Bacterial small subunit ribosomal RNA
Source: RNAcentral
UACGAGGGGAGCAAGCGUUGUUCGGAUUUACUGGGCGUAAAGGGCGCGUAGGCGGUCGUGACAAGUCACUUGUGAAAUCUCCGGGCUUAACUCGGAACGGUCAAGUGAUACUGUCGGACUAGAGUACAGAAGGGGCAGCUGGAAUUCUCGGUGUAGCGGUGAAAUGCGUAGAUAUCGAGAGGAACACCUGCGGCGAAGGCGGGUUGCUGGGCUGAUACUGACGCUGAUGCGCGAAAGCCAGGGGAGCGAACGGG